AUGGAGAAAGGCGGCUCAGAAUGCUGGCACCUGCUGCAGGGAGCAGCAUCCUGCUGCCAUGGGCCACACAGCCAUGGGUGUGGGGGAAUUUUUGGGAGCAGGGAGGUGCAGCACGUGGAGAUAACUGGUGCUUGGUUGGGCUGUGGUGGGUAUCACCCUCCACAAGAAGUGUUUGAUGGAGUUUUCUCCUCUUCCAGAGCUGGUGGUGCCCAAAACCUGAUCCUGGGAGCUGGCCCCUGUCAGCUGCUCCUGCUGGGAAAGCAUUCACCAUGGAGAAGAAUUUUGUGUUCAGCUUCUCAACCCUUGGCCUGCGUUGUCUCAAGGUGCUUUGAACUGCUCUGCAGCGGGAGCUCUGGUUGUUCUUAGGAAACAUCAGAGCCUGGUUUGUGCUGGGCAGAGGCUUGGAGUGUGGGGAGGAAGGGAUUUAAACCUUCCUAUGGAUCCAAAGCAGUGUGGGCAGCAGGAAAGGGGUUGGGAUUGUGCCCCUCUGCCCUGCUCAGGUGAGACCCCACCUGCAGAGCUGCCCCAGCCCUGGGGCCCAGCACAGGAAGGAGCUGGAGCUGCUGGAGAGAGCCCAGAGGAGGCACCAGGGUGAGCAGAGGGAUGGAGCAGCUCUGCUGGGAGGAAAGGCUGGCACAGCUGGGACUGGUCACCUGGAGAAGCUGUGGGGUGACCUAAUGGUGGCUUUCCAGGGCCUGAAGGUGCAAGAAAGAUGGAGACUAUUUCCUAGGGCCUGGAGUGACAGGACAAGGGGGAAUGGCUCCAAACUGACAGAGAGUAGGGUUAGAUUAAAUACAAGAAAGAAAUUCUUCCCUGUGAGGGUGCUGAGGCCCUGGCACAGGGUGCCCAGAGCAGCUGUGGCUGCCCCUGGAUCCCUGGAAGUGCUCCAGGCCAGGUUGGAUGGGGCUUGGAGCAACCUGGGAUAGUGGAAGGUGUCCCUGCCCAUGGCAGGUGGAUGCAAUUGGUUGGUCUGUCAGGUGCCUUCCAAACCAGGCUAUCCUGUGAUUCCAUGAUUCAAUGGUGGCAUCCCACAGGAGAAACUGGACCUUGGAGCUGACCUUCCUGGAGGAACUGUGACUUUGCUUUGGAAUUGUUGUUGCUUUUUCUUUUAAUCCUCUGGAUUUUCAUUUCUUCCAAGGAGCCACGUGUCACGUGACAGGUGAAUUUGAGCAGACCUCACACCACGAGCACCCAUCUGAGCAUCUCUCCCCACCAGCUCAGGGUCUGCACCUCCGAAUGUUUGAAUCCACAUGAAUCAGACAAGGAGAGGGGCUUGUUACCAUGGCCAGAAUUGAUUCAAAAAGUGUUUGUAAAGAGCAUUGAGGCUGGACAUGCUUGGACUGUGUGCUCCUGAGCUGUAAGAUUU
This 1366-nucleotide long non-coding RNA is filed under the name Junco hyemalis (dark-eyed junco). RNAcentral describes it as "lncRNA (ENSJHYG00000016950.1)". Lineage: Eukaryota; Metazoa; Chordata; Aves; Passeriformes; Passerellidae. The record is from RNAcentral.